Homo sapiens (human) is the source of this 1530-nucleotide long non-coding RNA. The record is from Ensembl. Lineage: Eukaryota; Metazoa; Chordata; Mammalia; Primates; Hominidae.
CAUGGGAGGGGCUUGACUAGGAGAGCCAGCAGGGCAAGAACUAUCACUCCUCUCCCACCCUCAGACUCACUUGCCGGUGACCAAGUCUGGCUCACAACAUCAGACAUUUCUUUCCUUUAGGAGGAUUUAGAUUUUAGAGGUCCUAAUUCAGUCUGGACUCUGGUUUCAUACAAUAGAAUCUGGCAGUGGUAAACUUAACCAUAUGGGGAAUGGAUCAGAAGAGUAUGAAGUAACCCAGCAAAAGGCUGGCAUCUUGCAAAGGUGGAUGGAGCCAAGACUCUUCUGAGAUUUCAUAAGAUACCUCACAGAAAGCCACUCUAGGCUGAGGGGGAUGAAACGAAGGUCAGCCUCUAUGCUGGUUUCCCAGGUAACUGCCAUACCGGUUAAGAUGUACUACCACAAUUAUUAAAGAACAGGGUCUGUAUUGCCUUCCAUCUGCAGCAAACCAAACUAGAAAUGCAGGCUGCCAUCCACAUGGCCAAUGCUGAGAUGGGGACUGGGGGAUGACAGGUGGGUAAGCAAAAGUGCUACAUGCUUUCUCACUGAACUUAACAACUUGUUUCUUCAUUAAGCGUGCCCAUAGUGGCUAUAAGCUUUUGAUUAGAUUUCAGAGUUCCAAAAGAAUUAAUUCUAUCAAUUUUUGCCAGUUUAGUGGUUGCUUCUACGGAGGAACCAAUUCUUAGAGUUCCUUACUCUUCCAUUUCUGUGGUAUCAUUCUAUCUCUCCCAGGUUUAAAAAAAAUUUAAAAACACUUUUUAUUAAGGAAAAAUUUAAGCAUAUACAAAAGUAAGGAGGUUGUUUUAAUGAACAUCCAUGAACUCAUCAACCAUGUGAAAAAUUACCAACUCAUGGCCAAUCUUAUUUCAUCGAUACCACCAACCAUCGUCAAAGACUUACUAAGUGUUGUGCUCAGAGUGCCUCAUGCAUUAUCUUAUUUUCACAUUACUUCUACGAGAUGGAUAUUAAUAUCCCCAUUUUACAGAUGAGAAAAUGAAAACUGAGGGAUUUAGUAAUUUUCCCAAGGUCACACACAACUUCCUGGGAUCAGAUUCUGAACUUGUACCUAUCUGGGAUCUGAAUCAUGGCUUAAGCUGAUUCUCCAAUCACUUUUUCUCAGAAGCUCAUUUGAUGCUGACAGCAACCUGAAUGUGGUGGACAUGACUAAUGUUCAUUCAAAUUUGCUUCUUAUUUUCCAAGUGGAGAUGGAAUUAUGAUUCCUCAACUCCUUGAAAUUAGACAGGGUUCUGUGGCAAGUUCUGGCCAAGGCAAUGUAGGCAGAAUUGACUUGUAUCAGUACUGGGCUGAAGCAUUUCAUUGCUGGUGCUUCACUUCCAACCCUCUCUUUGCCUGCUGCAGAGAACUCUUUAACCUCAUCUUGAGAUGCUAGUUAUAGGUGAUGGGUUGGGGUUGGGGCUGGGGAGCCUCUAUCACCUUGGGUACCUUAAAGAUGAUUACUACAGGAGAGCACAGCCUUUUGCUGAUGAUUGUACAUGCAGUAUGUAUAAGAAAUAAACCUUUGUUGUGGCAAAC